AAACCACGAUAGGUCACGAUUUCUGGAAUGGAUCAUGGCUUAAAUCUACAUGGCCCCUGGAUUGGACUGCGGCCGAUCAGGCUGUUGGUGAGGUAAUGGCCCACCAAACCUAUAACCGGUACGGGCUCUGAGAGGAGAAGCCCGGAGAUGGGCACUGAGACAAGGGCCCAGGCCCUAUGGGGCGCAGCAGGCGCGAAACCUCUGCAAUAGGCGAAAGCCUGACAGGGUUACUCUGAGUGAUUUCCGCUAAGGGGAUCUUUUGGCACCUCUAAAAAUGGUGCAGAAUAAGGGGUGGGCAAGUCUGGUGUCAGCCGCCGCGGUAAUACCAGCACCCCGAGUGGUCGGGACGAUUAUUGGGCCUAAAGCAUCCGUAGCUGGUUCUGCAAGUCUUCCGUUAAAUCCAGCCGCUCAACGGAUGGGCCGCGGAGGAUACUACAGGACUAGGAGGCGGGAGAGGCAAGCGGUACUCAGUGGGUAGGGGUAAAAUCCUUUGAUCCAUUGAAGACCACCAGUGGCGAAGGCGGCUUGCCAGAACGCGCUCGACGGUGAGGGAUGAAAGCUGGGGGAGCAAACCGGAUUAGAUACCCGGGUAGUCCCAGCUGUAAACGAUGCAGACUCGGUGAUGGGCUAGCCUUGUGCCAGCCCAGUGCCGCA
RNAcentral lists this ribosomal RNA (654 nucleotides) under uncultured Thermoprotei archaeon. Its description in RNAcentral is "bacterial SSU rRNA". It matches the Rfam family "Archaeal small subunit ribosomal RNA", at positions 148 to 805 of the family's 1478-position model. The record is from RNAcentral. Lineage: Archaea; Thermoproteati; Thermoproteota; Thermoprotei.